AAAAAGGGCUUCUGCCGUGCGUGGCACGGGGGGGCUCAACGGCCGCCCCCGCGGAAUCGACAUCAAGAGAUUUCGGAAGCACAAUUUUUGCAGCAGGGGCAGCUGGUAACCGCUUGUUCUGGCGCCCCG
This 129-nucleotide small nuclear RNA is filed under the name Apteryx rowi (Okarito brown kiwi). Its description in RNAcentral is "U11 spliceosomal RNA (ENSARWG00000000852.1)". It matches the Rfam family "U11 spliceosomal RNA". Lineage: Eukaryota; Metazoa; Chordata; Aves; Apterygiformes; Apterygidae. The record is from RNAcentral.